GCCCCGCCCCGUCCGCGCAGCUCGUCCGGCCCGCCCGCAGGCCAGCUUCUCUCGGGAGCCUCCACCCAGGCGCAUGGCUCCAUGAAGCAAGAGGAGGAGGCAGAGCGCGAGAGAUCCCGUCCGCCCCAGCCGCGUCUGGGCCAGGAGAAAAGCAAAACCAUAUUCCUGCUGCUGUCAGUUUUGAUGCACUGAGAAAACUUCAGAGACCUAAGCUUUUUCCAGAGAAGAGAAGCUUUACUGGUGUUCCAGCCCUAAGAAACUUAAAUCCUCAGUGUGACACAACUCAGUCCUUCUACUGCAGCAGCUCUUUUAUAAAAGCCUCCCAAAGCUCCAAGAAGGAACAAAGAAUGUGACCCAGUAAGCUCACACCAUAAGUCUAUAUUGCAGAAACCUUUGUUCAACAAAACUGCAGAUGCUCUGUUGAAUCCACUGGAGAUUGUCCUGAUACUAAGGACAAGUAUGCUCAUAUGACAUUAACAGACAAGACACUUUUCAGAAAGACAGGUUGUUCUUUUGGGCCACAUCUAAGAAAUCUUUGUCUAGCCAAAAGCCACAAAUAAUUUCUCAUUUUUUGGCUUCUGGAAGAUGUACAGUUAAAUGUUAUAUUUGGGACUGUUAUCUAAUUUGAUUAAAUUGCACUCUACAAUAUGAUAUUUGAAUUGAUGAAAAAUUAGUAAAUGUUAAUAUUUUUUAAAGUAGCCAAAUCUUGCAAUUUAUAUAUAAUAGAGAAGACUAGAAAAUCCCCCAUAUUUAUUUCCUCUUACUUCGUACUACUAAAAUUUGUAUUUAGGCAUUUGGUUUCUCAGAUAAACAUUACAUUCCCCAGUAUAUGGUUCUAUCUGGCUUGGUGACGACAUGUUGAACAUUAAGAUGUGAGCAGAAGUAAUACAUACACACUCUUUUUAAUGUCUUUAAUUGAAUGGGAUAUUGGCCCAUUUUUUCUUCCAGUUUAUUACACUGAAUAUUGACAUGUUAUUUUCCAAUAUUGAGACAAUCAAUGACAAGACUUUAAGAGUAACAAUGUAAAAAUUAUAGAAGUUGUCUGAGUUUAUCAACAAUCCCCUGGAUUAGAACCCCCUACCAGUUCUAGGUCAUCUAAUAUAUAGACAUUGUGUUCAGUAGAAAUAAAUAUAUAUAUUUUUUAAUAUACUUUAAGUUCUAGGAUACAUGUGCACAACAUGCAGGUUUGUUACAUUGGUAUACACAUGCCAUGUUGGUUUGCUGCACCCAUUAACUCAUCAUUUACAUUAGUUAUUUCUCCUAAUGCUAUCCCUCCCCCUGCCCCCCACCCCCCGACAGGCCCUGGGGUGUGAUGUUCCCCACCCUGUGUCCAAGUGUUCUCAUUGCUCAAUUCCCACCUAUGGGAAUACAUUUUUAAAUCAUUUUUAAAGGUGUUAUUACAUUCUGAUUGAACAUUUUCAGAAAGAAUAAAUAAUUUAAUACAAGAAGUGGGCCACUUCAUGUAACAAAACAAACCACCACUACAGCAACAACAACAAAAAACACUAAUGAAUGUGACUUUAGCUUUGCAACAUCAUGACAGACUAGCAAGUUAAUGACAUUUGUUAUGCCAUAGAAAAUAUUUGUUGAAUUGCCACUCUAAUGACUUUAUAUCAGCCAACUCAUUAUCAACACUAGAAAAGAUGAUUAAAAAAUACUUCAGUACGUUCAUGUGUUGGCUUGUUAACAUUUUUAAGAGUCUAUAAGAGAAAAAUGCAUCCAAUCUCGGCAAAAAUAUUUUUCAAGUAUCUUGUAGGUACGUACAACUAACUACCUUGUGAACAAAAGUCACUAUAUAAUUAUAUAAUUUCUGACACUUAAAAAAGUUUAUUGUGCAAAAGAAGAUAUAUGUUCUAAUACCAAAUCCACAUAUAAAAUAAUUGACUUAUUUAAAUAAUUUAAGAUGCUCUUUUAUAUAUUUAUAUUAAAAACUUUACAGAGAAUAAAAAAGGCAUUAUACAGGCUGCUUAUGGUUUUUGAUGUUUGGAUAUACAAUACAUGUAUCAAAGAUUGUGGAAAUAAAUCAAGCAAUAUAUUCAAUUG
RNAcentral lists this long non-coding RNA (2043 nucleotides) under Homo sapiens (human). Lineage: Eukaryota; Metazoa; Chordata; Mammalia; Primates; Hominidae. The record is from RNAcentral.